CCAGCUGGUCGCGGCCAUCGUGUUCAUCAGCUUCGGCGUGGUGGCGGCCUUCUGCUGUGCCAUUGUGGACGGCGUGUUCGCAGCUCGGCACAUAGUUCCAAGUGAAGGAGAAAUGAGAGUGACGAGGAUGGCGAGCAUAAAGGUAUUGACGUCCGCUACCAUCGGUCAAGGCGACCAGUCAAAGCGGAUGUAACAUCCAUGGCCAAAUUAGAUGCCCGUCAUGUGUGACUGCCUUUGACCUUGGAUGCUGGACAUAAGAGCCGGCGGGGCCGGUGCUGGCUCGGCCUCUGCCGUGUGCCGGGCGAACCGUGUCGACCUUCCCACUGUCCCGUCCUGCUAAAGGACAGCAGCUGCUGGUUGUUCCCUGAGACCCCGUGACAGACGUCUGCAGCCUGAGGAGUGCUGGGCCGGGAGCAAAUGGACAGCAUGUCCCUGCUGCCCCGUGGCCUCUGAGCUCACCAGUGAGCACACCGCUCAGCGACGGCCUCAGGGGGGCACCUCCCACGGAAUGCUCUGUCCCCACAAAUCCUCGUGUUGAAACCUUGCCCCGGAGGUGAGGGUGACUGGGGUGCAGCCUUUGGGAGGUCAUGGGGUGGGGCCUUUGUGAAGGGACCUCCUCCUCGAGGGCGAGCCCACACUGUCCCUGAGCCCGGAGCUGACUUCCCACGAGAUGCCGGAUCUGGCGGCCCCCGACCUUGGACUUCCAGCUGCCGGACCACCAGGAACACAUGUCUGUUGCUCACUAACCCCAGUUCAUGGUACCUUCGUGGCAGAAACCCACAUGGACUGGGAAAUUGGUACCAACCGUGGGUACUGCCUGGGGUUCCCAGGGCCAAGCCAAGCCCCUGGGGUGGGGGAGGGGACCCUUCCUCUGUUUCUGUGUCAUGUGGCCUCUGCCGACAGAUGCAGGCGAGGAAGAGCCUCCCAGGAUAGCCCUGGCCUGUGGGGUGGCCGGGCCCCUGCAGGGCUCCCAUGCGGCCCCGGGCCGUGCGGGCCAGCUGGCGCCUGGAAGGGGCAGAGGCCAGAACCCAGCCAGAGUCCCAUGGCUGUCCCUCUCGGUGUUCAUCGUUUUCAAGUAUUUACGUUUCUAGCACGUUUUCCGUGUUUCUCUAUCCUUUGUCUCACACUUCUGUUUCUCAGUUUUUAUUUUUGGAAAGAUUGUUUGAGUUACGAGUCCCCAGCCAGUAUUUGCUCUCAUGGUUCUGGGGCACUUCCCUUGGUUAGAACAGAAAGCAUGUCCUUUGAUCUGAAUCUGAUUUC
Molecule: long non-coding RNA, 1260 nt
Organism: Ailuropoda melanoleuca (giant panda)
Lineage: Eukaryota; Metazoa; Chordata; Mammalia; Carnivora; Ursidae
Exons: 3
Source: RefSeq, a predicted model, not a curated record